This 240-nucleotide unclassified non-coding RNA is filed under the name soil metagenome. Its description in RNAcentral is "partial contains 5.8S ribosomal RNA, internal transcribed spacer 2, and large subunit ribosomal RNA". The record is from RNAcentral.
AAGACUAUAGACCUGCGGAGUACCUGCGGAGGGAUCAUUACCGAGUUUACAACUCCCAAACCCAAUGUGAACGUUACCAAACUGUUGCCUCGGCGGGAUCUCUGCCCCGGGUGCGUCGCAGCCCCGGACCAAGGCGCCCGCCGGAGGACCAGCCAAAACUCUUUUGUAUACCCCCUCGCGGGUUUUUUAUAUCUGAGCCAUCUCGGCGCCUCUCGUAGGCGUUUCGAAAAUGAAUCAAAA